RNAcentral lists this ribosomal RNA (439 nucleotides) under uncultured bacterium. Its description in RNAcentral is "bacterial SSU rRNA". It matches the Rfam family "Bacterial small subunit ribosomal RNA", at positions 958 to 1398 of the family's 1533-position model. The record is from RNAcentral.
AACGCGAAGAACCUUACCUGGGCUUGAACUGCACUUGACAAAGGUAGAAACAUCCCUUUUCGCAAGAACUGCUGUGGAGGUGCUGCAUGGCUGUCGUCAGCUCGUGUCGUGAGAUGUUGGGUUAAGUCCCGCAACGAGCGCAACCCUUAUCGUUAGUUGCCAUCAGGUCAAGCUGGGCACUCUAGCGAAACCGCCCCGGAUAACGGGGAGGAAGGUGGGGAUGACGUCAAGUCCUCAUGGCCUUUAUGUCCAGGGCUACACACGUGCUACAAUGGUCGGUACAAACCGUCGCAAACCUGCGAAGGGGAGCUAAUCGGAAAAAGCCGGCCUCAGUUCGGAUUGGAGUCUGCAACUCGACUCCAUGAAGCUGGAAUCGCUAGUAAUCGCGGAUCAGCACGCCGCGGUGAAUACGUUCCCGGGCCUUGUACACACCGGAGUA